Cyanistes caeruleus (blue tit) is the source of this 513-nucleotide non-coding RNA. The record is from RefSeq and is a predicted model, not a curated record. NCBI's taxonomy places the organism in Eukaryota, Metazoa, Chordata, Aves, Passeriformes, Paridae.
CUGGCUGGGCUAUGCCAGCAGCCAUCGCCUGAACAAAAAUGUAACCCCGCUUCUCUUCUCCCCUUUCCUCCCCCUCCCCCUCUGCCCCUUCCUCCCCCUAGGACCCCGCUGGGAUUUUUGAACUGGUGGAAGUGGUUGGCAAUGGCACGUACGGGCAAGUCUACAAGUGUGCAGUCAGUGGAACAAACAGAUCUUGAGCUUGCAUGACUUUGCAGCGAGUGCUAGCUACCAGGAUGACUAAUUAUUCGCACAGACUUAAUACUAGGCUAAAGAUUGAAGGCUCUAGCCUUAAACUGUAGAAAUGCAAGAUGCAUUUGGAGAGAGGAGAGAGAUGAAGAUGCUUAGCUGCUUGUUUGGUUUUUCGGUUGCUUUUUUGUUGUUGCUGUUGGUUUUUUUUUCUUAAUGCUUAUAAACAAGGGAGUGUAAUUGGUGAGUUUCCCUGAUGGCAAGAUACUGCUGCUUGCAGCUCCAGUAACUAAAUAAAGCACUUUGGUGCCUCUUCUGCAGAUGAAA